Molecule: long non-coding RNA, 455 nt
Organism: Triticum dicoccoides
Lineage: Eukaryota; Viridiplantae; Streptophyta; Magnoliopsida; Poales; Poaceae
Exons: 3
Source: RefSeq, a predicted model, not a curated record
GGUCGACGCGAGCAGAACGGCGGGGGCGGAGACGCCGCAUCCCCGGCGGGAGGAGGAGGAGGAGGAGCAAAUGAUGGUGGCGCAACCUUCUUCCUCCUCCCCUCACAUGUGGCAGCCAGUACGGGCUCAGGCAGCAGCCCAAGACGCGCCGCCACGCCACGCCGACGGCUUAGCGCGCGAGGCCGUCCGUCCGGGUGGAGCGAGAGCUUCUCGAAGCGCUGAUGUUUGUCGUCCAGAGAAGCUGGCCACUGGUGUCUGACAAGGCGAGAUCGGAUCCGCUUGUGAAGGCGAGCGUUGCAGAAGAAGGAUCAGUUAUCGGCAUAGCACGGGAGAAGAAUCCAAGGGCAAAAGUGCCAUCGUCGGAGGUGAUGGUGCUACCAGCGGAAAGCGGCUUGUCGGGAAGAAGGCGGCUGCUGGAUGAUGCAUAAAAUGGCAAUAAACAAAAUGACCAACAA